This 465-nucleotide ribosomal RNA is filed under the name uncultured bacterium. RNAcentral's name for it is "partial 16S ribosomal RNA". It matches the Rfam family "Bacterial small subunit ribosomal RNA", at positions 28 to 507 of the family's 1533-position model. The record is from RNAcentral.
GACGAACGCUGGCGGCGUGCUUAACACAUGCAAGUCGAACGGAAAGGCCCCUUUGGGGGUACUCGAGUGGCGAACGGGUGAGUAACACGUGAGUAACCUGCCCUUGACUUCGGGAUAACUUCAGGAAACUGGGGCUAAUACCGGAUAGGAAUCCUUGCUGCAUGGUGGGGGUUGGAAAGCUUCGGCGGUGUUGGAUGGACUCGCGGCUUAUCAGCUUGUUGGUGGGGUAGUGGCUUACCAAGGCUUUGACGGGUAGCCGGCCUGAGAGGGCGACCGGCCACAUUGGGACUGAGAUACGGCCCAGACUCCUACGGGAGGCAGCAGUGGGGAAUAUUGCACAAUGGGCGGAAGCCUGAUGCAGCAACGCCGCGGGCGGGAUGACGGCCUUCGGGUUGUAAACCGCUUUCAGCAGGGGCGAAGCUUGUGGUGACGGUACCUGCAGAAGAAGCACCGGCUAACUACGUG